GCCUGAACUGAAACAUCUAAGUAGGGCGAGGAAGAGACAUCAAACGAGAUUCCGUAAGUAGUGGCGAGCGAACGCGGAAGAGGGCAAACCGAAGGUAGAAAUACCUUCGGGGUACGGAGCGCAUUUAAGACUCAAGUUGUUAACCGAACGGCAUGGGAAGGCCGGUCAGAGAGUGUGAGAACCACGUAGGUGAAAACGGAAAGAGCUGCGCAGAUUCCAGAGUACGGCCAGACACGUGAAACCUGGUCGGAAGAUGGGGGGACCACCCUCCAACCCUAAAUACUACCCAGUGACCGAUAGCGUAUAGUACUGUGAAGGAAAGGUGAAAAGCACCCCGGGAGGGGAGUGAAAAAGAACCUGAAACCCUGUGCCUACAAGCACCUAGAGCGCGUCAAUGCGUGAUAGGGUACUUUUUGUAGAACGGUCCGGCGAGCGAUUGUAUGCAGCAAGGUUAAGGACUUAAGGUCUGGAGCCGAAGCGAAAGCGAGUUUGAAAAGGGCGUUAAGUUGCAUAUAAUGGGCCCGAAACCGGGUGACCUACCCAUGGUCAGGUUGAAGUGGAAGUAAAAUUCCAUGGAGGACCGAACCGACCUCCGUUGAAAAGGCGGCGGAUGAACUGUGGGUAGCGGAGAAAUUCCAAUCGAACCCGGAGAUAGCUGGUUCUCCCCGAAAUAGUUUUAGGACUAGCCUCAAGUUAGAUACCUGGAGGUAAAGCACUGAAUAGCCUAGCGGCCGAGAGGUUAGCGAAGCUUAUCAAACUCAGAAUGCCAGAGUAUUGAUGCUUGGGAGUCAGACAGUGUCAGAUAAAUGUCAUUGUCAAAAGGGAAACAGCCCAGAUCUACAGCUAAGGUCCCAAAGUCAGGUUAAGUGGAAAACGAUGUGAAGAUACGCAGACAACCAGGAUGUUGGCUCAGAAGCAGCCACUCAUUCAAAGAGUGCGUAAUAGCUCACUGGUCGAGCGUCUUUGCGCGGAGAAUUUAACGGGGCUAAACCUGACACCGAAGCUUAGGCAAUCCAGCAAUGGAUUGGGUAGGGGAGCGUUGUAUACGCGGAGAAACAGUAGCGUAAGCGGCUGUGGAGUGUAUAGAAGUGAGAAUGCCGGAAUGAGUAGCGCGAAUGCAGUGAGAAUCUGCAUGGCCGAAAGCCUCAGGUUUUUGGAGGAAGGUUCGUCCGCUCCAAGUUAGUCGGGAGCUAAGGUGAGGCCGGAAGGCGUAGCCGAUGCACAGACGGUAGAGAUUCCGUCACCACCAAAAGAGUUAAGCACAGGGACACAUUUGAAGUCUCAGAGCCGGGUGUUGGUUCCGGUAGAGAUCGAGGGAAGUUAGUACCGAAGUCUGGGAUGGAGGAUGGCGAGAAAAGCUGUGUGUAUUUCUGAGGUGCCCGUACCGCAAACCGACACAGGUAGGUAGGAAGAAGAUUCUAAGGCCAACGGGAGAAGGGUUGUUAAGGAACUCGGCAAAUUGACCCCGUAACUUCGGGAGAAGGGGUGCUCCAGAGAUGGAGCCGCAGAGAAUCGGCCCAAGCAACUGUUUACCAAAAACACAGGUUUGUGCUAAAUCGAAAGAUGACGUAUACGAGCUGACGCCUGCCCGGUGCUGGAAGGUUAAGAGGAGAUGUGCAAGCAUUGAAUCGAAGCCCCAGUGAACGGCGGCCGUAACUAUAACGGUCCUAAGGUAGCGAAAUUCCUUGUCAGGUAAG
RNAcentral lists this ribosomal RNA (1697 nucleotides) under human gut metagenome. RNAcentral's name for it is "bacterial LSU rRNA". It matches the Rfam family "Bacterial large subunit ribosomal RNA", at positions 186 to 1980 of the family's 2925-position model. The record is from RNAcentral.